UGCUGCACGUGUCCUCAGGAGUUGCGGCUCAUGGGCUCCAGAGCGCAGGCGUACUUGCGGUGCACUGGCUUAGCUGUUCCAGUGGCAUGUAGGAUCUUGCCCAACCAGGGAUGAAACGGUGUCCCCUGCAUCACAAGGCUAAUUCUUAAUCACUGGACCACCAGGCUGGUGCUUCCCUCCUGCCCCUUUAUGCCCUAGCUCUUUGUGAAAUAAUUAAUUACCUUUUCUGAUCCAACUCAAGUUCUUUUUCUGCAGUGAGGAUGUACAUAAAUCGAGACUCCAUGAGGAAACUUCGCAGAGAAACUACAUGAGGCUUCGUUGCUGAAGGAGCAGCAUAAAGACAGGGAGUGGAAGGACGGUUCCUCACAAUUGUUUCUAAUAGGGUCUUUUAAAAUUAGCAGCACGAGAGAGUAUUUAACAAGAAAUCAGAGUCGAAAGUGAGAAGAAGCCUGAAGACAAAGGAGAACAGCAGAUUCCUAUACUGUGCUCAGGCGACUUGCUUGCAGUGUGUCUUCUCAUUCUGGAGCCUCUCCCGAGAAACUAGAAAGAAACAUAUGGAUGCAAAAAAAGUUUCAUUUGUUGCCAGAUACCUUCUCUACAUAACAUCUGGACCUAUGGAACAUCUGCACAGCUUUUCAUCUGGAUGUUUGGCAAAUACAGAGACAGUGUUUCCUUUCUAAAUCUAAUUCUUACACAGUGUUAUUCUCAUAGCAUAUUUGUUAAUGCUUCUAAUAUCCU
Molecule: long non-coding RNA, 738 nt
Filed under: Bos indicus x Bos taurus (hybrid cattle)
Lineage: Eukaryota; Metazoa; Chordata; Mammalia; Artiodactyla; Bovidae
Description: lncRNA (ENSBIXG00000024378.1)
Source: RNAcentral